AAAGACAACAUGUCCAUUAUGCGUGCACGUAGUACUAUUUAUCCUAACACGCAGAAACACAUUGGCAGUGUCACCUUGACGGUGGUUAUUUGGUGGAUGAUUCCGGCGUCCGUCGUCUGCGGGAUGCUUCACCCUGCAUGCUAACGAUGAGCUGACGAUUCAAAAUCAGUGGACUUUCGUUCCCGCGAGCAGCAGCCGCCGAAUGCGCUGGACGAGCGGACGGCCUCGACGACCACCCUGACGUCUAUCGAUGACGCAACCGUUUCGUUCCUCUUCAAAGUGAAGCUCUUUCCGUUCCGGUUUA
Molecule: long non-coding RNA, 304 nt
Organism: Daphnia magna
Lineage: Eukaryota; Metazoa; Arthropoda; Branchiopoda; Diplostraca; Daphniidae
Exons: 3
Source: RefSeq, a predicted model, not a curated record